GUGAGUGUCAGGGUCUGGCCGCGGCGGUAGAGGAGGAGGGCCUGGUGGCCGCUGUCCUCCUCCUCUUGGUAGCCAAGGAGGUCUCGAAGAUUCGAUGAAUGCGGGAUUGCCAGCAAAUCUGAGAGCGUCAGCCUCAUUCGUCAUGACCCUCCUAUUUGCCUCUAAAAUCUCAAUCAAUUUAGGACAAAAUCCAACAAAUUGGGAGAAGUUAUCCCGAAAU
Molecule: long non-coding RNA, 220 nt
Filed under: Elaeis guineensis (African oil palm)
Lineage: Eukaryota; Viridiplantae; Streptophyta; Magnoliopsida; Arecales; Arecaceae
Description: long non-coding RNA (EGUI_LNC016278)
Source: RNAcentral